This 253-nucleotide ribosomal RNA is filed under the name uncultured bacterium. RNAcentral describes it as "partial 16S ribosomal RNA". It matches the Rfam family "Bacterial small subunit ribosomal RNA", at positions 524 to 776 of the family's 1533-position model. The record is from RNAcentral.
UACGUAGGGGGCAAGCGUUGUCCGGAAUUAUUGGGCGUAAAGGGCGCGUAGGCGGAUGUUUAAGUCCGGUGUGAAAGAUCAGGGCUCAACCCUGAGAGUGCAUCGGAAACUGGGCAUCUUGAGGACAGGAGAGGAAAGUGGAAUUCCACGUGUAGCGGUGAAAUGCGUAGAUAUGUGGAGGAACACCAGUGGCGAAGGCGACUUUCUGGACUGUAACUGACGCUGAGGCGAGAAAGCGUGGGGAGCAAACAGG